AUGGCUACACCCUCCCCUAAAGAAGUCCUCACAGCACAGCCCCUCACCAUGGACUGGAACAGGAAAGCCCUCUACCUGGUGGCAGUGGGUAUAGCUCUGAGAAAUGAGCCCAGCCCAGGAUUAACAGGUGUCCCCAGUCCCUGCUCAGGACAGAACACAGACCACUCACCAUGGAGUUUUUUUCUCACCUGGGUUUUCCUUGUAGCUGUUUUAACAGGUGUCCAAAGUGAAGUGCAGCUGGUGGAGUCUGGGGGAGGCCUGGUGAAGCCUGGGGGGUCUCUGAGACUGUCCUGUGCAGCCUCUGGAUUCACCAUCAGUAGUAGGUACUGGAUGCACUGGGUCCGCCAGGCUUCUGGGAAGGGGCUGGAAUGGAUCUCAGCAAUUGCUGGUAGUAGCACAUACUAUGCGGACUCUGUGAAGGGCCGAUUCACCAUCUCCAGAGACAAUGGCAAGGACAAACUCUAUCUGCAAAUGAACAGCCUGAGACCUGAGGCUGAGGACCUGAGGACACGGCCAUGUAUUACUGUGGGAGUGACACAGUGA
Phyllostomus discolor (pale spear-nosed bat) is the source of this 543-nucleotide non-coding RNA. NCBI's taxonomy places the organism in Eukaryota, Metazoa, Chordata, Mammalia, Chiroptera, Phyllostomidae. The record is from the annotation of a RefSeq genome assembly.